UGGGUGUUUCAGUGGUGGUCUCAGCAGACCCUUAUGAGCACAAGUCUUCUCCACCACCACCAUAUGAGUACAAGUCUCCACCACCACCCUCACCUUCACCUCCACCAUAUGAAUAUAAGUCUCCUCCCCCACCACCAUAUGAGUACAAGUCUCCACCACCACCCUCUCCUUCACCACCACCAUAUGAGUACAAGUCUCCUCCCCCACCACCAUAUGAGUACAAGUCUCCACCACCACCCUCACCUUCACCUGCACCGUAUGAAUACAAGUCUCCUCCCCCACCACCAUAUGAAUAUAAAUCUCCUCCCCCACCACCAUAUGAGUACAAGUCUCCACCACCACCCUCUCCUUCACCUGCACCAUAUGAAUACAAGUCUCCUCCACCACCACCAUAUGAAUAUAAGUCUCCUCCCCCACCACCAUAUGAGUACAAGUCUCCACCACCACCCUCUCCUUCACCUCCACCAUAUGAGUACAAGUCUCCUCCCCCACCACCAUAUGAGUACAAGUCUCCACCACCACCCUCACCUUCACCUGCACCGUAUGAAUACAAGUCUCCUCCCCCACCACCAUAUGAAUAUAAGUCUCCUCCACCACCCUCUCCUUCACCUGCACCAUAUGAAUACAAGUCUCCUCCACCACCACCAUAUGAAUAUAAGUCUCCUCCUCCACCUUCACCCUCUCCACCACCACCAUAUGAGUACAAGUCUCCACCACCACCCUCUCCUUCACCUGCACCAUAUAAAUACAAGUCUCCUCCACCACCACCAUAUGAAUAUAAGUCUCCUCCUCCACCUUCACCUUCACCUGCACCAUAUAAAUACAAGUCUCCUCCACCACCACCAUAUGAAUAUAAGUCUCCUCCCCACCACCAUAUGAGUACAAGUCUCCACCACCACCCUCUCCUUCACCUGCACCAUAUAAAUACAAGUCUCCUCCCCCACCACCAUAUGAGUACAAGUCUCCACCACCACCCUCUCCUUCACCUGCACCAUAUAAAUACAAGUCUCCUCCACCACCACCAUAUGAAUAUAAGUCUCCUCCUCCACCUUCACCCUCUCCACCACCACCAUAUGAGUACAAGUCUCCACCACCACCCUCUCCUUCACCUGCACCAUAUAAAUACAAGUCUCCUCCACCACCACCAUAUGAAUAUAAGUCUCCUCCUCCACCUUCACCCUCUCCACUACCACCAUAUGAGUACAAGUCUCCACCACCACCCUCUCCUUCACCUGCACCAUAUGAGUACAAGUCUCCUCCCCCACCACCAUAUGAGUACAAGUCUCCACCACCACCCUCACCUUCACCUGCACCGUAUGAAUACAAGUCUCCUCCCCCACCACCAUAUGAAUAUAAGUCUCCACCACCGCCCUCUCCUUCACCUGCACCAUAUGAAUACAAGUCUCCUCCACCACCACCAAUGAAGCCUCCACAUCCACCAUACUACUAUAAUUCUCCACCACCACCAGUGAAGCCUCCACAUCCGCCAUACUACUAUAAUUCUCCGCCACCACCAGUUAAGCCACCACAUCCACCAUACUACUACACUUCUCCUCCACCACCACCAAUGAAGCCUCCACAUCCACCAUACUACUAUAAUUCUCCACCACCGCCAAUGAAGCCUCCACAUCCGCCAUACUACUAUAAUUCUCCACCACCACCAGUUAAGCCACCACAUCCACCAUACUACUACACUUCUCCUCCACCACCACCAAUGAAGCCUCCACAUCCACCAUACUACUAUAAUUCUCCACCACCGCCAAUGAAGCCUCCACAUCCGCCAUACUACUAUAAUUCUCCACCACCGCCCUCUCCUUCACCUGCACCAUAUGAAUACAAGUCUCCUCCACCACCACCAAUGAAGCCUCCACAUCCACCAUACUACUAUAAUUCUCCACCACCACCAGUGAAGCCUCCACAUCCGCCAUACUACUAUAAUUCUCCACCACCACCAGUGAAGCCUCCACAUCCACCAUACUACUACACUUCUCCACCACCACCAGUUCCUUACCACCCCCACCCCCACCACCCCAUGCUCGUUAAGGUAGUUGGAAAAGUUUACUGCUACAGAUGCUACGACUGGGACUACCCAAAGAAAUCCCAUGACAAGAAACAUCUCAAAGGUACGUCUUCCCUCUCCAUUCCAUAUCUGCUGAAAUUUUUUCUGCUUGCAAGAUGACAUCAUUUUUUCUUUUUAAUCCAAUUAAAAAAAUUAAAAAUCCCAAUCCUUAAAUUGCAACAUAUUUUAAGUCAACUUCCAUGAUGAUUGUAAUAGAUUUUGGUACAGAAACGUUCCUUAAACUUGAAAAUGAAAUGGGUUACGUUAGUAAUUCUGAAAAUGAAGGUUGGUCCAUUCUUUGAAAGCAAUUUUUGCUUUUCUUUUGUUAUUUGCAACAGCAAAAAGAAUACUUUAACGUAAAUGAGAAAAAAGUUUGAUGACAUAUUCUUGAAUUUAUGCAUAUUUAGUAAUUUAUGUCAUGAUUAAGCAGUCAAUUAAACAACCGUUAAUUGUUGUGUGUUUGUCUCAUAAAUUCCUGGAUCCCAAUUGAAAAGGUUGCUUUGUCAUACGGGAGACAACUUUUGUGUACAAAUCAUGGCAUCUUUGACUACGUAGUCCAAAUAUAAUCAUCCACGUUAGAGUAUCAUUUUAUUGAAUAAAAACUGUGUCCAGAUCGUUAAGCUUGACAUUUUUUAUAUGUGAAGUUAUAAUCAAUAGCCAUGUGUUAGAAAAGUAGAAUAGUUUUUAAAUUGGAAAAAGACAAAUUAGUUGUUGGACUAAGUGCUUGUGGCAGCUGGAGAUCCCAAAUUUUUCCAAUAGAUUAUCAGUUUGUCCAACAUUUGGUACUGACUAAUAUUAAUUUUCAUUUUAGUAAUCCAAAAAGAAAAAAAAAACAAGAAGAGCAUAAUUGCGAAAACCCGAAUAUGAUUUUAAUUAUUUCUAUCCACCAAUAAUUGUAGUUUUGAAUUUUCUGUCUACACAUUGUGCAGGAGCUGUAGUAGAGGUUACGUGCAAGGUUGGUGACAAGAAGAUUGUGGCAUAUGGAAAAACUAAGAUUAAUGGAAAGUACAGCAUCACACUUGAAGGGUUUGAUUAUGGCAAAUAUGGAGCUAAGGCAUGCAUGGCUAAGCUGCACAUGGCGCCAAAGGAUUCCAAAUGCAACAUUCCAACCAAUCUCCACUGGGGCAAAACGGGUGCUGAACUCAGAGUCAAGUCCAAGACUGACUAUGAAGUCGUGCUCUACGCAAAACCAUUUGCUUAUGCUCCCAAGACUCCUUAUGAGGAAUGUGAGAAGCCCAAGCCAACUCCUGCUCCUUACCACUACAUAUCUCCUCCGCCACCAACUUAUGUCUAUAAAUCACCACCACCUCCACCACCAACUUACCUAUACAAGUCACCGCCACCACCAGUGAAACCUCCACCAAAGCCGUAUUAUUACGUCUCCCCACCACCACCAACUUAUGUCUAUAAAUCACCACCACCUCCACCACCAACUUACCUAUACAAGUCACCGCCACCACCGGUGAAACCUCCGCCAAAGCCGUAUCAUUACGUCUCCCCACCACCACCUACUGUAUCUCCACCGCAUUAUUACUACACAUCACCACCACCACCGGUGAAACCUCCGCCAAAGCCGUAUCAUUACAUCUCCCCACCACCACCGGAGAAAUCUCCACCACCACCCUAUCCUUACAUCUCCCCGCCACCGCCGGAGAAAUCUCCACCACCACCCUAUCCUUACAUCUCCCCACCACCGCCGGAGAAAU
Molecule: long non-coding RNA, 3765 nt
Filed under: Coffea arabica (coffee)
Lineage: Eukaryota; Viridiplantae; Streptophyta; Magnoliopsida; Gentianales; Rubiaceae
Description: long non-coding RNA (CARA_LNC002214)
Source: RNAcentral